RNAcentral lists this long non-coding RNA (1129 nucleotides) under Equus asinus (donkey). Its description in RNAcentral is "lncRNA (ENSEASG00005036390.1)". Lineage: Eukaryota; Metazoa; Chordata; Mammalia; Perissodactyla; Equidae. The record is from RNAcentral.
GUGCAAACUGGAGCAAGCGUCCUAGAAGCCCAUGUGGUUGUCACACUUGACUGUUAUGGAAGUCAGUGAUGACUAUAGGAAUGUGGUGUGAGAUCGAUUUUCCUGAGCACACGAGUAUUUCCAGAAAGAAAAAGACUUUUUAAAAAGUCCAGCUGGAUGUUAAAGCUCAAAUCUUUUAACUCUCAGCUCAAGUCACAAGUUUUAAGCUGGCACUGGAGAUAAAGUCUUGGUCACAACAGGAAACAUCUGUGCCCUCGUGGAGCUUAGAUUCUAGAUGGUGAGGAGAGACAAAGAAGAAAAUAAAUAAAAUGAAUUAUAUGUUUUAUUAUACAGAAAAAUAAAGCAACAAAAGAAAAAACGAAGUGUAUCUAUGGUGAGUGUGCAGUUUUAAAAAGGGAAGACAAAGAAAGUCUCACUGGGAUGAUGACAUUUGGGCAAAAACUGAAGGAGGUGAAGAGGUGGCCUUGAGGAAGCUGGAGAAGCAUUCCAGAACCAGGGGGAGGCCGGGAUGGCCGGGGCGCAGUAGCAAGGGGAGAGGUGGCAGAGUCGGGGUAGCAGGUAGCCAGACCACAGGGCCUGGGGCCACGCUGAGGACUCUGGCUGUACACCAAGAGAAACUGGGAGCGGCUGGGAGGUUCUGAGCAGAGGCACGACAGGUGCUGGCUUAUAUUUUAAAGGAUCACCCUGGUCUCAUGGUGGGGACAGAAUGAAACAGGAUGAAGGAGAGGAGGGGAACCAGUUAGGAGCUCUUGCACUCAGCCAGGGAGAGUGGAUGGUUGACUUCGACCAGGGUGGGAGCCAGAAAAGGUUGGAUUCUGCACGUACUUUGAAGGCAGAGCUGAGAGGCUCUUUUAACAUCUUGGAUAUAGAAUAUGAGAGAAAGAGAGGAGUCAUGGACCAUCCCAAGGUUUCGGCUCAAGCAACAGGAGGAGUGGAUGCCGUCGUUACUCAGUUCGCUGAGAUGGUGCGGAGGGUGGGAGGAGGAGGUGCGAGGGGAAGACCAGGAGCUCAGUUCUGAGCGUGUUUAAGUCAGAGGUGUCUGUGUGUCAUUCAAGUAGAAAUACCAAGCAGGCAGUUCAAUAUUCAGUUCCACCCUGUUCAAGUUCAAGGAGGAUGUUUAUGCUGGAGG